AAAAGUCACAUCCAAUUCAUUCAUUUAUAUUUUUUUUUUUUUAUAUGCAUAUUUUGUAUUUAUAUGUUUAUUUACUUUAUUAAUUUACGAAUUUUAAUCAUUUUGAUAAUUAUGUUUUUAUUUUAUUAUUUUAUUAGACAUAUUUUGAUGUUCAGUACAAUUAUUUGCUAAUCGAAAGAAAAAAAAAACAAACCAAAAGUUUCUAGAUAUAAGUUUACAUAGUUAUUAUAUUAAUAAAUAUUUGAAUAACUAAUCUUUUUACUCAAAAUUUAAAUGUAUUCACCUUUAAUAGGCUGAAAUUUAGUCCAAAAAUCUUUAAAUUAAUCGUAAUUAAUUUUUAUUCUCCAGGAACACUUGAAUCAGCAUCAAAUCAAUAAGGCUGAAUUAAGCUACAAAUUAACAUCGAAAGAAAAGAAGUCAAUAUUUUUGCUUAUGUAUAUAUUGUACAUACUUUAAUGUUUUAGAUUAGUCCCAGUUAGAUUUUUAAUGUUUUAAUUUUUUCCUAAAAUUGGGUCUUUAUUGUAGUGUGAUUAGGUUCUGGGAUGAGCUAAAAUAAUUAUAGUUUUACUGUUUUUUUAGUUAUUAUAUUGUUGUUUCAUUCCAGUAUUUUGAAGGAAGUAGGUAGUACACAUUGGUUUCCUCAUCUAUUCUUUUCAGUUUUUUUUUUUGAAGUUUUUGGGUUUUGUGAACAAUUGGUUAAAUGAUCUUUCAUGUUCAAAUGAUGUCAUUGUCCAUGGAGUCUCUUUUAAUGCCUUCCCCUUCGGCCCCCCCCCAAAAAAAAAAAAAAAAAACAUAAUUUCCUCUAUAAUUAUAAGUUAAGAUUAGUUUAAAUAAGAUAAUCAAAUUAUCUUAUCAAUUAUUUUAAUUGAUAUUGCAUGUAUUUUAAUAUUUAAGAAUAAACAUUAAUUUUAAUAUGUAAUAUAAAAAUACUUUGAUAAUUAUUAUUAUCCUUUAUUAAUACCAAUGUUAGAUAAAAAAAAAAAAAAGCAGUGAUUGAUUUAAAAUCAUACUUUAUAGGAUACUCUUAAAUUAUUGUUGUACAACCACUUAAAUUAUCCAUUUUACGGGUUGUCUUUUCUCCAUCUCUCACAAAUAUGAUAAAAACAAAUUAACAAUUUUCUAUAAUAAAAUAUUAUGUUCUACUUUAUGUAACUAGUGUGUGUUGAAAUGGCUUUGUAACUACAAUAGGCUAACUAUUAAUUAGCAAAUAUAUUAUUAUGUACUUAAGAAUUUUACUCACUCAUUAAAGAAUUAUUGUAUUAUUAAUGUACAUCCUGUUUUUUUUUUUUUUUUUUUCAUAAUUUUAUCAACUAUGAUUGAUACAGAAUUAUUUUACUUGAUUUAUGAAUAAAUUUAUUAAUG
Molecule: non-coding RNA, 1362 nt
Organism: Cinara cedri
Lineage: Eukaryota; Metazoa; Arthropoda; Insecta; Hemiptera; Aphididae
Source: the annotation of a GenBank genome assembly